RNAcentral lists this transfer RNA (73 nucleotides) under Attheya longicornis. RNAcentral's name for it is "tRNA-Ile". It matches the Rfam family "tRNA". Rfam says of the family: Transfer RNA (tRNA) molecules are approximately 80 nucleotides in length. The record is from RNAcentral. Lineage: Eukaryota; Bacillariophyta; Biddulphiophyceae; Attheyales; Attheyaceae.
AAGCCUGUAGCUCAGCGGUUAGAGCGUACGCCUGAUAAGUGUAAGGUCAGUAGUUCAAAUCUACUCAGGCUUA